GAAACUUUCCACGAGACACCUGUGGAAGCUAGGCGUCAGUUAGCUACAACAGCGAACAUCCACUAGACACCUGUGGAUCAGCGUUUCUCUGCUGCUGCUACCAAAACUUUCCACGAAAAUCCAUCACAAGACACUUGUUCUCCUUCUCGGCUGCGUUUGUUUCUCUCUGUUUCUCCAACAAUAACUAUUAAUUAGAGACACAAAUGGGUUCGCUUUUGAGUUCUACCAAAAAGACCAAGGAAGAAAUUGAAAUGGCACUUAAAAAAGCAAAGGAGAUCUCCACUUCUGCUCCUGUCGUCGUUUUCAGGUUUUUCAUUUCCCAG
Molecule: unclassified non-coding RNA, 323 nt
Filed under: Hevea brasiliensis (rubber tree)
Lineage: Eukaryota; Viridiplantae; Streptophyta; Magnoliopsida; Malpighiales; Euphorbiaceae
Source: RNAcentral